RNAcentral lists this unclassified non-coding RNA (225 nucleotides) under uncultured fungus. RNAcentral's name for it is "sequence contains ITS1". The record is from RNAcentral. Lineage: Eukaryota; Fungi.
CCGUACCUCUCCUUUCCUGGGGUAACAGCCGGGAGAAGGUUGAGGGGUAAAAUUAGUCGGACCUGUACUCCAAUCUGUUGCCUUAACUGGAACAGUGGCGAGAGGGGUGACUGUACCCUUGUUUUUUCUGAAUAAUUGUUUCCUUGGUGGGCUUGCCUGCCAAUAAGGACCCUAAUAAACUCUUUGCAAUCUUGUAUUUAUAUCAGACAAAAUUCUAAAUAUUUA